This 269-nucleotide ribosomal RNA is filed under the name uncultured prokaryote. RNAcentral's name for it is "partial 16S ribosomal RNA". It matches the Rfam family "Bacterial small subunit ribosomal RNA", at positions 524 to 792 of the family's 1533-position model. The record is from RNAcentral.
UACGGAGGAUGCGAGCGUUAUCCGGAUUUAUUGGGUUUAAAGGGUGCGCAGGCGGGGGAUUAAGUCGGCGGUGAAAUUUUGCAGCUCAACUGUAAAAGUGCCAUUGAUACUGGUUUUCUUGAGUGUGGAUGAAGUAGGCGGAAUUUGUGGUGUAGCGGUGAAAUGCAUAGAUAUCACGAGGAACUCCGAUUGCGCAGGCAGCUUACUAAACUACUACUGACGCUCAGGCACGAAGGCGUGGGGAUCAAACAGGAUUAGAUACCCGGGUA